AGGCUUUAGACGAGUACCGAGAAGGAUCUACUGCCUUCACACGCGCUCCUUUUAACUUAAAACACUGCUUUCACCUUAAAAGAGAAACAAGAGGAACACACAAAAGCCCAAAAGAGAAUGACGGAAAGGGAGGGGGUCAUCUCAAGCAGGGUCCGAAUCCUCAGAUGGAACCACAGGCCACUAGGCCAGCACAGGGGCCUCCGGGAGGGUCCACCCUGCUCCACAGCUGCACGGGUGUGUGUGCAUCAGUGAGUGUCCCUGUGUGCAUGCAUGCCAAUAGGUGCACAUGCAUGUGUCCACACAAGGAUGUGUGUGCAUGUGUGUGCGUGAGUGUGCAUACAUGUGUGAGUGUGCAUGUGUACGUGUGUGUGCAUAUGUGUGCAUGAGUGCGUGUGUAAAUGUGUGCAUGUGUGUGCGUGUGCGCAUGAGUGCGAGUGUGCAUGUGCGUAUGUAUAGGUGUGCAUGUGUGCACAAGUGUGUGCAUGUGUGUGUGCAUGUGUGCAUAUGUGUGUGCAUGAGUGUGCGUGUGUGCAUGUGUAUGUGUCAGUGUGCGUGUGUGCAAGUGUGCAUAUGUGCAUGUGUGUGCGUGAGUGGUGCAUGUACACAUGUCUGUCCAUACAUGUGAGCUUGCAUGCAUGUGUUGUGUGUGUACGUGUCUGUACGUUUGUGUGUGUAUGUGUGUGCCUGUGAGUGUGCAGAGAGGCCCUGGCACUCGAGGAGGGCCUGAAGCUCAUAGUAGACUCACCCGGCGGGCCCAGUUGAUGAGGUCAUCCAGCUUGGCCACCACAUACUCGCCCCGGCUGCUGGGUUUGGGAGCCACGGCUCUGGCCUUUGGCAGGGCAGGCUGGGUGCUGGCACAGAGACACAUGGGCACAGGAGGCGUCAGCCACACAGGUGCAUCCCAGAGGCGGAUGCCAGCCCCCACGGCCGCUGCCAGAGGCCUGGACCCACAUGAGCAGGUCAACAGUGUCCAAGCAAGGACAGUCCCAGGAUCAUCCACAGAAGGAAACUGGCACCAGACCCUCCACACAUGACCAAGGAAUCUGCAGUCCGCUGAGCAGGGAGGGCGCUGCCCACGUCAACCUACACAGCAAAGCACCCCUAGAGGAGCCAGCCUCAAAGGAAGCGCAGAGGAGGGAACGCGCCUGCACGAAGGCUCCUAGGAGAGCCUUCUCGAGGCGAAGGCUGAGGCCAGAGCAGGGCCUGCCACACACAGGGGCACUCAGCGGGAGGAAACGCCUGGAGGUGCAAGGAAUCCUGGCUCACAAGGAAGAAGCUAGAAAGGCAGGCUUGGUGCUGGUGAGGGCUGAACUGUGUCCCUCCACCCGACCUGCAUCUGAAGCCCUAACCCCAGGACCUCAGAAUGUGACUGCUUUUGGAGAUGGGGUCUUUAAAGGGAU
This 1400-nucleotide non-coding RNA is filed under the name Pongo abelii (Sumatran orangutan). Lineage: Eukaryota; Metazoa; Chordata; Mammalia; Primates; Hominidae. The record is from RNAcentral.